Molecule: ribosomal RNA, 495 nt
Filed under: uncultured bacterium
Lineage: Bacteria
Description: partial 16S ribosomal RNA
Rfam family: Bacterial small subunit ribosomal RNA
Source: RNAcentral
GACGAACGCUGGCGGCGUGCCUAAUACAUGCAAGUAGAACGCUGAAGGAGGAGCUUGCUUCUCUGGAUGAGUUGCGAACGGGUGAGUAACGCGUAGGUAACCUGCCUGGUAGCGGGGGAUAACUAUUGGAAACGAUAGCUAAUACCGCAUAACAGUAGAUAUCGCAUGAUAUCUACUUGAAAGGUGCAAUUGCAUCACUACCAGAUGGACCUGCGUUGUAUUCGAUAGUUGGUGAGGUAACGGCUCACCAAGGCGACGAUACAUAGGCGACCUGAGAGGGUGAUCGGCCACACUGGGACUGAGACACGCCCCAGACUCCUGCGUGAGGCAGCAGCAGGGAAUCUUCGGCAAUGGACGGAAGUCUGACCGAGCAAAGCCGCGUGAGUGUAGAAGGUUUUCGGAUCGUAAAGCUCUGUUGUAAGAGAAGAACGAGUGUCAGAGUGGAAAGUUCACACUGUGACGGUAUCUGACCAGAAAGCGACGGCUAACUACGUG